Solanum tuberosum (potato) is the source of this 542-nucleotide long non-coding RNA. RefSeq lists it as uncharacterized. The record is from RefSeq and is a predicted model, not a curated record. The transcript is spliced from 4 exons. NCBI's taxonomy places the organism in Eukaryota, Viridiplantae, Streptophyta, Magnoliopsida, Solanales, Solanaceae.
GUAAGAUGCACAUAAUCUUACUCCUUUCUUUAUGAGGUAGAAAGUUGUUUUCGAUUGAUUUUCGAUAACGUAACCCUCCUCCAUUAUGCAUGCUUCAGAUAGACAAUAUAAGAGAGCUUAAACAACUAAUAUUAUAUAAGUUUUACACUAUUUUGAUUUAUUUAAAUGUACUUAGAUACUACAACCAAGUACGUCAUACUUGAUUUCUUUUUUAUUAAGUGAAAUUUCUCUUACUAAUGAAUUAAACUUUUUCAUGAUGGCUUCUUUUGGAUGUUUCAACCUGCUGCUAGUGUCUUAAUUUCUAUAGGAUCGAGAAUUUGGAGCUGCAAAUCAAGAAGUGCACAUUGGAAUUGCAGAUUGUAGAUGCUAACAUAAGGGACUAUGUUCCAGGACCAGAGCAAGUGUCUUCUCUUCAUCAACUCUCUUGGUGUGAGAGCAACUUGCAAAAAUCUAUCCAAAAAGUUAUGGCUAGAAAGAGCCAACAACAAAAUAUGGUGGCAGAUGUCCAGCAAAAUUCAACACAAACAUUUGGACAAUCACCG